GUGUCUGGCAAGGUUAAGCAAACGCGAAGCCGUAGCGAAAGCGAGUCUGAAUAGGGCGCUUAGUCAGAUGCUGCAGACCCGAAACGAAGUGAUCUAUCCAUGAGCAAGUUGAAGCUAGUGUAAGAACUAGUGGAGGACUGAACCCAUAGGCGUUGAAAAGCCCCGGGAUGACUUGUGGAUAGGGGUGAAAGGCCAAUCAAACUUCGUGAUAGCUGGUUCUCUCCGAAAUAUAUUUAGGUAUAGCGUUGUGUCGUAAUAUAAGGGGGUAGAGCACUGAAUGGGCUAGGGCAUACACCAAUGUACCAAACCCUAUCAAACUCCGAAUACCUUAUAUGUAAUCACAGCAGUCAGGCGGCGAGUGAUAAAAUCCGUCGUCAAGAGGGAAACAACCCAGACUACCAGCUAAGGUCCCUAAAUCUUACUUAAGUGGAAAACGAUGUGAAGUUACUUAAACAACCAGGAGGUUGGCUUAGAAGCAGCCAUCCUUUAAAGAAAGCGUAAUAGCUCACUGGUCUAGUGAUUUUGCGCGGAAAAUAUAACGGGGCUAAAGUAAGUACCGAAGCUGUAGACUUGCACACAACUUAGAUUAUUUAAGUUUAGAAUAUGAGAAACUAAGUUAUAUGUUUAGUUAUAUUUUUACUGAUUUUUAUAGAGUAAAGAUAGAAAUAAAACUUAAUAAAAUCAGUAAAAAUAUUCUUAGGCUAAAGUUAAGUAGUUUAAGUUGUGUGCAAGUGGUAGGAGAGCGUUCUAUUUGCGUCGAAGGUAUACCGGUAAGGAGUGCUGGAGCGAAUAGAAGUGAGCAUGCAGGCAUGAGUAGCGAUAAUUAAUGUGAGAAUCAUUAACGCCGUAAACCCAAGGUUUCCUACGCGAUGCUCGUCAUCGUAGGGUUAGUCGGGUCCUAAGUCGAGUCCGAAAGGGGUAGACGAUGGCAAAUUGGUUAAUAUUCCAAUACCAACAUUAGUGUGCGAUGGAAGGACGCUUAGGGCUAAGGGGGCUAGCGGAUGGAAGUGCUAGUCUAAGGUUGUAGGAGGUUAUACAGGCAAAUCCGUAUAACAAUACUCCGAGAACUGAAAGGCUUUUUGAAGUCUUCGGAUGGAUAGAAGAACCCCUGAUGCCGUCGAGCCAAGAAAAGUUUCUAAGUUUAGCUAAUGUUGCCCGUACCGUAAACCGACACAGGUGGGUGGGAUGAGUAUUCUAAGGCGCGUGGAAGAACUCUCUUUAAGGAACUCUGCAAAAUAGCACCGUAUCUUCGGUAUAAGGUGUGGUUAGCUUCGUACUAGGAUUUACUCCGAAAGCGAAGAAACUUACAACAAAGAGUCCCUCCCGACUGUUUACCAAAAACACAGCACUCUGCUAACUCGUAAGAGGAUGUAUAGGGUGUGACGCCUGCCCGGUGCUCGAAGGUUAAUUGAUGGGGUUAGCAUUAGCGAAGCUCUUGAUCGAAGCCCGAGUAAACGGCGGCCGUAACUAUAACGGUCCUAAGGUAGCGAAAUUCCUUGUCGGUUAAAUACCGACCUGCAUGAAUGGCGUAACGAGAUGGGAGCUGUCUCAAAGAGGGAUCCAGUGAAAUUGUAGUGGAGGUGAAAAUUCCUCCUACCCGCGGCAAGACGGAAAGACCCCGUGGACCUUUACUACAGCUUGACACUGCUACUUGGAUAAGAAUGUGCAGGAUAGGUGGGAGGCUUUGAGUAUAUGACGCCAGUUGUAUAUGAGCCAUUGUUGAGAUACCACUCUUUCUUAUUUGGGUAGCUAACCAGCUUGAGUUAUCCUCAAGUGGGACAAUGUCUGGUGGGUAGUUUGACUGGGGCGGUCGCCUCCCAAAUAAUAACGGAGGCUUACAAAGGUUGGCUCAGAACGGUUGGAAAUCGUUCGUAGAGUAUAAAGGUAUAAGCCAGCUUAACUGCAAGACAUACAAGUCAAGCAGAGACGAAAGUCGGUCUUAGUGAUCCGGUGGUUCUGUGUGGAAGGGCCAUCGCUCAAAGGAUAAAAGGUACCCCGGGGAUAACAGGCUGAUCUCCCCCAAGAGCUCACAUCGACGGGGAGGUUUGGCACCUCGAUGUCGGCUCAUCGCAUCCUGGGGCUGGAGCAGGUCCCAAGGGUAUGGCUGUUCGCCAUUUAAAGCGGUACGCGAGCUGGGUUCAGAACGUCGUGAGACAGUUCGGUCCCUAUCUGCCGUGGGCGUAAGAAGAUUGAAGAGAUUUGACCCUAGUACGAGAGGACCGGGUUGAACAAACCACUGGUGUAGCUGUUGUUCUGCCAAGAGCAUCGCAGCGUAGCUAAGUUUGGAAAGGAUAAACGCUGAAAGCAUCUAAGCGUGAAGCCAACUCUAAGAUGAAUCUUCUCUAAGCUCUCUAGAAGACUACUAGUUUGAUAGGCUGGGUGUGUAAUGGAUGAAAGUCCUUUAGCUGACCAGUACUAAUAGAGCAUUUGGCUUAUCUUUAAUAAAGCAU
Molecule: ribosomal RNA, 2450 nt
Filed under: Campylobacter jejuni
Lineage: Bacteria; Pseudomonadati; Campylobacterota; Epsilonproteobacteria; Campylobacterales; Campylobacteraceae
Description: partial 23S ribosomal RNA
Rfam family: Bacterial large subunit ribosomal RNA
Source: RNAcentral